AAAGAAGGGGCAACAACUAUACAGGAAGGAGAACAGUAGAUCAAAUAUGAUAUCAGGAAAUACAGAAGACUAAAUAUACCCAUUGUUCCUGCUGCGAAAAAGAUGGAAUAUGAUUAAGCUCUCAUACCACCCAGGUCCACACCAGACUCAGCUCACCCAGGAAUGAGUCACUGCUCUGAUGGACUGAUUGGCCUGGGCUGAGCCAAAGCAGUGAUUAAAUAGCUUAGAGCUUUGGAGCUGAAGGGAACCUCUGCACUAAUUCUCCUUCAUGCUUAAACGAAAGCUGAUUCUGGAAGAUAUCCAGUGAUGGCUGGGAUUUAGGAGGAUGGUCUUCUGCAAACCAACCACAGGAACUGAUGCCAACAGGCUCUUCACUGAGCAGAUGAAGUGCGGGCUGGGGAGCUCUUCGGCUAAUUUGUUUUCCAUGUAUAGUGAAUGUUUUCAAACAUAAAUUAUUAAUUGUACUUUAAAAGUUGACUGUAUAAAAUGAAUUUUCAGUUAAUCUACACUCCAAAU
Molecule: long non-coding RNA, 516 nt
Filed under: Homo sapiens (human)
Lineage: Eukaryota; Metazoa; Chordata; Mammalia; Primates; Hominidae
Description: non-protein coding lnc-SYT1-2:1
Source: RNAcentral